Gopherus evgoodei (Goodes thornscrub tortoise) is the source of this 996-nucleotide long non-coding RNA. RefSeq lists it as uncharacterized. The transcript has 5 exons. Lineage: Eukaryota; Metazoa; Chordata; Testudines; Testudinidae. The record is from RefSeq and is a predicted model, not a curated record.
UGAAGACCAGGUUGAACUGCACCAGCACGCAGGGCAGGAGGGCGAAGAGCAGGGUCAGCGCCUGCCAGAUGCGGUCCCCCGCCGAGCGGGACCCUAGAAGGACUAGCUCUCUAUAGACUCUUCCACAGAGCUUCCUUCUCAAAGCUCACGACACGCUCUGGACAGCUGCAGAGACUCAUCACCCUUCACAGGGAUCAAGACACUUUUUAAUUGUUUAACAUCCUUUGAUCUCUCAUCUCCCACCACAAAACAGUGGUGUCACUUCGGCUUACACCCUCAAAAGAAACACUGACAUCUGCAGACAAGCUGUUUACUUGCCUACUUCUUAAAAGCUACAAUAAAGUUUGCAACAGGGGACCCAGCAGGACACAAAACAGCAAUGUCUUCUGGAUGGAUGUGAGAAGCCCUGUAUUACAGACAUGAUUAAGCAGGUGAUCCCAAAACAGGAGCCUGAAUGGAAAGAGUGUGAGAUGUGGGCUCUCCAAGGAAACUAGAGGCCUCCUGUUUGGAUUGGAAGGCUUCACGGUUACAAAGAUGGCAAGGGCCUAAUCCUCCACAAUGUUACUUCCAUUUGAUUGGUAUACAACUGUCGUACUGCAGUAGAAGUAUUUUGCUAUCUGCAUCCCUUCCAAACAGUGGCAGCCACAUCACAUUUUUGACACCAUUCCCUGAAGUACUGAUUCUCAAGUGAUACCGUCUAGAAUGGCACUGCACUGUUGCUAAUGCAGACUGGCUGAUGCUUUAACAUCACUAAGAAGAGAAAGGCAGAACACACAGACUGAUGACAGAGAGAGAGGGAGAGGCAAAAAAACAAGAAAGCCAAGCAAUAGCCCGUGAGCACAAUAUGAACCCGGAAAAAUUUAGAGAAGGGGUUUCUGGGUCUGCUGGUUACAGAGGCUGAACGCUCAGAUACUGCUCCUUUUGUUCUUGAUUUCUCCUGUAUUCAGAGAAGCAGAACUUUGUGCAUUUCUUGUAAAUAAACAAGAUUGCAUCAAA